Non-coding RNA from Kalaharituber pfeilii, 134 nucleotides. The record is from the annotation of a GenBank genome assembly. Lineage: Eukaryota; Fungi; Ascomycota; Pezizomycetes; Pezizales; Pezizaceae.
GGUUCUAUGGCGCAAUUGGUUAGCGCGUCCGGCUGUUAACAGAGCGAGCCUGAUUUCAGCAACAGUUGAUGCUGGAGCUUUGGUGAGUUCAUUAGGGGACCGGGAGGUUGGAAGUUCGAGCCUUCCUAGAACCG